AGCUGUUCCCCUCUGGAGGUUUUAACCUUCAAACUUAUCAGGCCGCGGAGACAUCCAGCGGCCUUCUUUUUUGGGAAGC
Molecule: small RNA, 79 nt
Filed under: Agrobacterium tomkonis CFBP 6623
Lineage: Bacteria; Pseudomonadati; Pseudomonadota; Alphaproteobacteria; Hyphomicrobiales; Rhizobiaceae
Description: Agrobacterium genomosp. 3 str. CFBP 6623 suhB
Rfam family: Alphaproteobacterial ar15 (bases 1-69)
Source: RNAcentral